GACUCUCGGCAACGGAUAUCUAGGCUCUCGCAUCGAUGAAGAACGUAGCAAAAUGCGAUACUUGGUGUGAAUUGCAGAAUCCCGUGAAUCAUCGAGUCUUUGAACGCAAGUUGCGCCUGAAGCCACUAGGCCGAGGGCACGUCUGCCUGGGCGUCACGC
Molecule: ribosomal RNA, 159 nt
Filed under: Leea guineensis
Lineage: Eukaryota; Viridiplantae; Streptophyta; Magnoliopsida; Vitales; Leeaceae
Description: 5.8S ribosomal RNA
Rfam family: 5.8S ribosomal RNA
About the family: 5.8S ribosomal RNA (5.8S rRNA) is a component of the large subunit of the eukaryotic ribosome. It is transcribed by RNA polymerase I as part of the 45S precursor that also contains 18S and 28S rRNA. Functionally, it is thought that 5.8S rRNA may be involved in ribosome translocation.
Source: RNAcentral